Ostrea edulis (European flat oyster) is the source of this 1174-nucleotide long non-coding RNA. RefSeq lists it as uncharacterized. NCBI's taxonomy places the organism in Eukaryota, Metazoa, Mollusca, Bivalvia, Ostreida, Ostreidae. The transcript has 2 exons. The record is from RefSeq and is a predicted model, not a curated record.
UAAACCUCCAAUGACCAUGUACAAUGUACAUGAACCUAUAAAUCUCUGAAUUUAUCAAGUUAUAUGCACUCAAAUAGCUAGAAUGGCUUAUUCAAUGAUCAUAAUAAGCAUUUUUGACCAAAUUUGGGAAAUAGAAAUAAGAAAUAUUUUGGAAAUGAUGUUCAAAGCCGUGAUUGUUCAACUUUACUUUUAAAUUAUUUUUACUUGAAUUUUAAAAUUCUGAAAUAAGAAGAAUAAAUAUAGUAUGUAGUUUAUUUACAUGGUGAAAGAAGUGAAUCAUUGGAACAAUUCUGUUUCAUAUCAUAUUCCAUAGUUUUGGGUUUUUUUGUUUUCUUUCUUAUUUUUUUUUUUUAGUAUUAAAACGACCGAGUAUCGAAAGCAAUGGUAACGAAAUAAGUUGACACCGCGUCUCGUCAAAACAUGUUCAAUUCGAAUUUACUCGGAAUUACACGUUCAACGAGCAUUUGCUGUGAAACCUGAUUAAAGGAAAAUUACUGUAGACACCUAAUAGUGAUUUGUACAGAAGCGAGCCCCGGCAGGAAUGAUGGCCUCUUUUGAAAUGAAGAUUUCAUGCCUUACUCCUACUGGGACUACAACUAACUUUGGACCUGGUCACUCGCAGAUACAGCAUGAAGUGUGCCCUCUUGAUGUACAUGGGGAUGGGAGUGAUACAGAAGGGGGACUAAUUGGAAGAACUGCUGCUGCUGGUGGUGGUGCUGGACUGUCUUGAAUCUGUUGCCUAACCGACUUGAUAUUCUUCUGUUUAAUAUGGGAGCAACACACACACUCUGGCAUAUAUUGCACAGAAAAUCAUGAUCAGAUGGUGCCCUCCCUAUCAGAGUGGUGAUCACUGACCUAUAUUUCUUUGAAAUCCUGGAUCUGUGUUUUGGUUUUACUCUCCAUGGACAGUUGAAACAGAGAAAGAAUUAGGGACCACUCCUUGGCAUAUCUGAAAUAUUUAUGUCAUAUACAUGUAAUUAAAAUAUACAAUUUGGGUUCGAUGAAAAUCUUAUCUUCAUGUUAAAACCCAUUAGCCUAGGUUAUUUUUCCUAAAAUCUAAUUAUAAAUCAAUUAACUUGUUAAUUAAUGCUUGGUGAAUCAAUUAAUAAAUUGUAUUCAAGAACUUGGAAUUAUUUUUUUCCCCACUAAUAAACUGAAAAUGUGUAUCUUCAAA